UUAGUCUUUUAAUUGAGGACUGGAAUGAAGGAGUAAACCGGGAGAAUUUUUUUUAAGUUAAGAAAAUGAACUUUACUUUUUAGUAAAAAGGCUAAAAUAAAUCUUUUAGACAAGAAGACCCUAUAAAACUUUAUAUUUUUAAAUUCUAGAGGAUUUAAAGGUAUUAGGCUGGGGUGGCAGAGAAAAAGAUCUUUUUUUAAAGAAAGGAACGUACUUGUUAAAAUAUCUAGAAGUUCUAAAAAAGGAAUAAGUUACUUUAGGGAUAACAGCUUAAUUUACUUUGAAAGAUCAAAUUGACAAGUAAGUUUAGGACCUCGAUGUUGAAUUAAAA
Molecule: ribosomal RNA, 331 nt
Filed under: Trypanothacus barnesi
Lineage: Eukaryota; Metazoa; Arthropoda; Arachnida; Scorpiones; Buthidae
Description: partial large subunit ribosomal RNA
Source: RNAcentral